UACGUAGGGAGCGAGCGUUGUCCGGAUUUAUUGGGCGUAAAGAGCUCGUAGGCGGUUUGUUGCGUCGGCUGUGAAAUCCCGAGGCUCAACCUCGGGUCUGCAGUCGAUACGAGCAAACUAGAGUGUUGCAGGGGAGACUGGAAUUCCUGGUGUAGCGGUGAAAUGCGCAGAUAUCAGGAGGAACACCGGUGGCGAAGGCGGGUCUCUGGGCAACAACUGACGCUGAGGAGCGAAAGCGUGGGGAGCGAACAGG
RNAcentral lists this ribosomal RNA (253 nucleotides) under uncultured bacterium. Its description in RNAcentral is "partial 16S ribosomal RNA". It matches the Rfam family "Bacterial small subunit ribosomal RNA", at positions 524 to 776 of the family's 1533-position model. The record is from RNAcentral.